RNAcentral lists this long non-coding RNA (2275 nucleotides) under Leguminivora glycinivorella. RNAcentral's name for it is "uncharacterized LOC125224720, transcript variant X1". Lineage: Eukaryota; Metazoa; Arthropoda; Insecta; Lepidoptera; Tortricidae. The record is from RNAcentral.
UGCAUUUAGUAACCCACCGCCCCCUGUCUGUCUCCAUUUUCAUUGAGACAUCCAAAAGUAUUAUUUAGUCACAGUUGUCAUUCAUAACACCUGCCAGGUGGUUCCGACAUAAAGUAAGAAAGGCUUUCACAAACGAAACAACCGAGAGCAUCGACCAAAACCGACUAAUCAAAGAAAUUCAAAAUACUAGAUUCUUAUACGCACAUACCGUAAUUACCUACAAAUACGGUACGGCUAGUCCAUGACGCCGCGGCCACCUCACACGGCCGCAGCCUUAACGAGAUGCUUCUCGCGGGCCCCGAUCUGCUGCAGUCGCUGCCCGGCGUCAUCAUGCGUUUCCGUCAACACGGCGUGGCAGUAUCGGCAGAUGUAAAGGAAAUGUUCAUGCAGAUAAAGAUAAGAGACUAACUUUCGCAUUUCACACAGGUGCAGGCGCUAAUUAAUCACUGUUUGUUUGCAGGGUCAAUACUGAGGCGUGGAAUGAGGAAGAAUCGCAGUAACUCAAGCUGAGCGGUCGCUAGGGUCGCUAGGGUCAAUACUGAGGCGUGGAAUGAGGAAGAAUCGCAGUAACUCAAGCUGAGCGGUCGCUAGGCGCAGGCGCUAAACCGAGCUGAGUACGACGCGUGGGUGGCGCCUACCGGCUGCGACUCAACUAAACAGAACCCGUCGCAUGGGUCAAUACUGAGGCGUGGAAUGAGGAAGAAUCGCAGUAACUCAAGCUGAGCGGUCGCUAGGGUCGCUAGGCGCAGGCGCUAAACCGAGCUGAGUACGACGCGUGGGUGGCGCCUACCGGCUGCAACUCAACUAAACAGAACCCGUCGCAUGGGUCAAUACUGAGGCGUGGAAUGAGGAAGAAUCGCAGUAACUCAAGCUGAGCGGUCGGUAGGGUCGCUAGGCGCAGGCGCUAAACUGAGCUGAGUACGACGCGUGGGUGGCGCCUACCGGCUGCAACUCAACUAAACAGAACCCGUCGCAUGGGUCGAUACUGAGGCGUGGAAUGAGGAAGAAUCGCAGUAACUCAAGCUGAGCGGUCGCUAGGGUCGCUAGGGUCAAUACUGAGGCGUGGAAUGAGGAAGAAUCGCAGUAACUCAGCCGAGCGGUCGCUAGGGUCGCUAGAUGCAGUAGAACGAAGAAGUAGCUGGCAACUUGAAUGCAAGUGUGCAUUAGAUGGCGCCACCAUAGCUUUGCCCGGACAAGAGUUUUGCUCUAUGAGAUUUGACUUCUAAUAUUAAAAUACUUGGACCGAUUCAGGGAGAAGAACGCGCUUUAUCAGCACACUCACGCUCCUUUGAAAGCAAAAGCAUAAUAUUAUUGUUAAUGUAUUUUUUUCUAGUAUGUAACUUGUAACGUAAUGUAACGUGUGUUGUCAUGUAACUACUGAAUUUUUGAUUGACAAAUAAGUUAUCAGUUAGUUAGUUGUAUUAGGUAAUUAAUUUAAUUGAAAUUGUGCACACAUGCUCCCGCAAUUUGGCAAUAUCAACAACGUUUAUUAAAGUUUUUCGAAUGCAUAUCGCAAAUGUCAGAAUAUUCUGUUCAUAAAAGUUAUGGAUUGUCAUGCCUUUUUCCAAUGACCCUUAUUUAGGGUAAAGUAACACCAAACAAAGUAUUUGUGAGACAGUUUAACCUUUUGGCCGCCAGAGACUUAAACGGAAAAUCGUGACCACGACGCCACUUUUAUGUUAGCAUAAUUUCUUUACCCAUCCUUAAUUUACCCCCGUGGCGUCAGUGGCACGGUUUUCCGUUGACGUCAUUUGCUGUAUUUGGCGUUCAAAAGGUUAAAAACAUAAAAUUUACCAUAAAUUAAGACCCAUAAAAUUGUAAACAUCUGCGGCGAUUUAUGAUGAUUGUGUUAACUAAACGUAACAUAAGCAUUUGUAAAUGUAAUCAAUUUUAGCAUAUUACUUACCAAAACUCACCUGUGCUAUUCCAUUUCCCUGUUAUCCCCAAUCGUGCUGGUAGCAGCGAAGUGCAAUGCUUUCUACCUUUCCCCAAAAUCUCAGUCCUGCGAGUGCGAGGUGCAAAAUGUAAGUAUUUAUCAAAAAGGGACGGCUGUUUCGCAGGCUAGAUAAUGUUUCCUCCUCUCUUGUACUAGGCCGACUAGUACUCCGAUGCGCCUAUCUCCUCCUUCCUUAUAUCCGUAGCUAGUUAUCAGAAAAAUAAAAAAUAAAUCAUCCGUUUGUUUUUCUUAUGCAACAGGCGUUUAAAGGAGGUCAAAAAAGACAAGUGGCGUGGGUAACAAUUUGAGGCGAAGUAUUUUUUGACUCAGUUAAACACC